RNAcentral lists this ribosomal RNA (253 nucleotides) under uncultured bacterium. Its description in RNAcentral is "partial 16S ribosomal RNA". It matches the Rfam family "Bacterial small subunit ribosomal RNA", at positions 524 to 776 of the family's 1533-position model. The record is from RNAcentral.
UACGUAGGGUGCAGGCGUUAAUCGGAAUUACUGGGCGUAAAGCGUGCGCAGGCGGUUUCUUAAGUCAGAUGUGAAAGCCCCGGGCUUAACCUGGGAACUGCGUUUGAAACUGGGAGACUUGAGUGUGGCAGAGGGGAGUGGAAUUCCACGUGUAGCAGUGAAAUGCGUAGAUAUGUGGAGAAACACCGAUGGCGAAGGCAGCCCCCUGGGUUAACACUGACGCUCAUGCACGAAAGCGUGGGGAGCAAACAGG